CCUACGGGAGGCAGCAGUAAGGAAUAUUGGUCAAUGGACGCAAGUCUGAACCAGCCAUGCCGCGUGAAGGAUUAAGGUCCUCUGGAUUGUAAACUUCUUUUAUCUGGGACGAAAAAAGGCGAUUCUUCGUCACUUGACGGUACCAGAUGAAUAAGCACCGGCUAACUCCGUGCCAGCAGCCGCGGUAAUACGGAGGGUGCAAGCGUUAUCCGGAUUCACUGGGUUUAAAGGGUGCGUAGGCGGGCAGGUAAGUCAGUGGUGAAAUCCUAGAGCUUAACUCUAGAACUGCCAUUGAUACUAUCUGUCUUGAAUAUUGUGGAGGUAAGCGGAAUAUGUCAUGUAGCGGUGAAAUGCUUAGAUAUGACAUAGAACACCUAUUGCGAAGGCAGCUUACUACGCAUAUAUUGACGCUGAGGCACGAAAGCGUGGGGAUCAAACAGGAUUAGAUACCCUGGUAGUCCACGCCCUAAACGAUGAUUACUCGACAUUUGUGAUACACUAUAAGUGUCUGAGCGAAAGCAUUAAGUAAUCCACCUGGGAAGUACGACCGCAAGGUUGAAACUCAAAGGAAUUGACGGCGNGAGAGNGCGAGGACGACACGAGGGGAGGAGG
RNAcentral lists this ribosomal RNA (612 nucleotides) under uncultured bacterium. Its description in RNAcentral is "bacterial SSU rRNA". It matches the Rfam family "Bacterial small subunit ribosomal RNA", at positions 338 to 959 of the family's 1533-position model. The record is from RNAcentral.